UACGUAGGGGCGAGCGUUGUCCGGAUUCAUUGGGCGUAAAGAGCUCGUAGGCGGUUCGGCAAGUCGGGUGUGAAAACUCCAGGCUCAACCUGGAGACGCCACCCGAUACUGCUGUGACUCGAGUCCGGUAGGGGACCACGGGAAUUCCUGGUGUAGCGGUGAAAUGCGCAGAUAUCAGGAGGAACACCUGUGGCGAAGGCGGCCCCCUGGGCCGGCCCUGACACUGACGACGCGAAGGCGUGGGGAGCGAACGGG
Molecule: ribosomal RNA, 255 nt
Filed under: uncultured bacterium
Lineage: Bacteria
Description: partial 16S ribosomal RNA
Rfam family: Bacterial small subunit ribosomal RNA
Source: RNAcentral